This is a long non-coding RNA of Tachysurus fulvidraco (yellow catfish), 1000 nucleotides long. RefSeq lists it as uncharacterized. The transcript is spliced from 3 exons. Lineage: Eukaryota; Metazoa; Chordata; Actinopteri; Siluriformes; Bagridae. The record is from RefSeq and is a predicted model, not a curated record.
CUUGUGCCAGCACAGCGAGGGUCUGAACGGGACACAAAACCACAAUCAGACCUCUUCUGCGUUGAUCCAUCGAGAUGUCCUUCUGAAAAUAGCCUGCAGAGAGGAAGAAGGGAGGAAGGAAGCAGAAAGGAGGGGCCUUGACCACUAUGAAAACCCAUCUAUUUCAGAAGUCCACAGGUUUCAAACCUGGUUCUGAAUUACACCCUUUACCCUACACAGCUUUCUCCUGCAAUAACAAACAUGAUCCAAAUCAGCAGCUAAUGAGAAGCCUUGCUGAGUUGAACUGGAUAUGUUAGAUAGAGUUCAUGAUUUCCUUCAGCAAGCCCUUCAUCCUAGUCCAGGUUGGAGUGGAACCAGAGGUAUACUGGGUGUGAGGCGGAAAUACACUCCGGAUGAGUAAACAUUUCAUCACGAAGCAUAACAAACACCAAAUUAGACUGGCCAGGCUGCCUAAUGGAAUGUGUGAAGAAGGAAUACACCCUGGACAUGAUGCCAGUCCACACUAGCUCUUCUGCUAUGGCUUGGAAUAUCAGUACUUUUGGAAUUUGGCACAUGGUUUUCACAAUUUAUCUUUUGGGGCUUUUACCUUUUUGAAGCAUAUUUUUAAAAUAAACCCGGCACUUGGGUCUAAUUUCUGUGUAACAAAUUGUAGAAAGUGCAGUAGGUUUUAUUCUUCCUUGCACUGCAGUUCUGUAAAAUUGACAAAGUGAAUACUAAAAUCUGAACACAGCAAUUUAUUUAAAAAAAAAAAAAAUUGUACAAAUCCUUUUCUAUCCAGUCUUUUGAUUGCAGUUCAUACUGUAGAACUGGUAUGAGAGUUGGGAUGGAAGUGGAGCCUGUACUGGGAUUACCAGGCGUGAGGCGAGAAUACACCCAGGAUGGGAUGCCGGUCCAUUUGGAUAGCGGUCCGUGGAUUUAGUGACGGUCUGGCUUAUCAAGCUGUAGACUAAUACUUUUGAUCUUGGCUCAUGGUUUUCACAGUUUGUUUUUUCUGCUUGUU